CUCCUUUCAUUAUUUACUGUUUUCUUUUUUGCUUUUUUGUAAAGUAGACACACGGUGACAACCUUCAAAAUGGAGGAAAAUCAAAAUACUGUUACUGUCUUUAUUUGUAUGGCUUGCUUGCUUUUUAUUUAUAUUUCCUUGUACUAUUCUUUGAAUUCUCAUUUCCACUCUGCUUUCUUAUUUACUAUUUUCUGCUUCUCCCCUUCUGAUGCCUCUCUUUGGUUUCUUAAAAUGCGGAGGAAAAAUAGACUUUUUGAUUCUGUUUGGUUGCUAAGAAUUAUAUUAGAUGGAGAAGUGGAAAAUGAAGCGAAAUUCCAAAUCGUCUUUUGUACUUUUACGAUGCUAUUUAAAUUCCACAUGUUCUGUUGUAUUUUUAUGAUACUUUUUCUUUAUUUUGUUUUUGAAAAACAAAUUAUUACCGAACAAAGGCUAGAUUCUCUUAUCUUUGUGUGUAUUUGCAAGUGCAUGCUAGAAUUCGGCUUUACUCAAUCUUGCCUACAUUUUCUCACAAAGCAAACAGAGAAGAGUUUCUUUUGAGAAUGAUUUUUCCCUUUUUUUUUUAAAAAUGUUGUAGAGUGCUUCCAAUAUGCGAUUGUCCGGGAUAGAGAAUAUGGCAGCGUUGCUGGAGAAGCAGCUAGCAUCUGAGAUUUCCGAGAUGACAUUAGAGGAAGCUUUGAAAUUGGCUCGUGCUUUCAGCCAUUAUCUCACUUUGAUGGGAAUUGCUGAGACCUAUCACAGGUAGUGGGAUUUAGUUUAUCAGCUGUUCAAUUUCAUGAGGUCAAUUUUCACUUUUCAAUUUAUAGGGAAUAACGCAUGUACAGUUAUAGAUCCUACGUUGCAAUUAGAUUUUUUUUGAAAGAACAAUUAGAUUAUCUUAAAAUUUCCUAUCAAGUGUUUUUUUCCAGUGAUUCCGAGUGCUGCAAUUUUUUUUUGCUAGUUUAUGUUUCUAUUAUCUCUACCUACUUAAUAAAAAAUGAAGGGUUUGUUGUCAGUUUUCAAUUUUCAUGGCUUUAUCUUAACAGAAAAACAUUUUGGAAUUACUGUUGUUUUGGUUAUUGAUUAGGUAUUGCCUUUCUCAUUUUUUUUUUUUGUGAAUGGUGGGUAAACUAUACAGGAAAUAUGCCAUGCUAACGUUUGAGUGUCUACUUUCGAGAGCAUUCAUUACAUUUUGGAUUUCCUAAUAAAAAUUAAGAAAAUGCAGAAAAAUCCGGAGUCAUACAAUAAGUCUCCUGCUAAAUAUUAUUAUUAUUACUAUCUUCUGUUGUUCUUUGUGCAAAACAAUUUUACGAUUUGCUUUUAUUUAAUCAAGAACUCAACAAAUUCAAGUAAUUAUUUUGUGCAGGGUUCGUAAGGGGCGAAGUGUUACACAUUUAUCAAAGUCUUGUGAUGACAUUUUCAGUCAGUUGAUUCAGGGUGGCGUUACCCCGAAUGACCUUUAUGACACUGUUUGCAAGCAGGUAUAUUUCUUAUAUUGCUUUUAGAUUUAGUUUUCUUCAGUGCCUUGUUCAGUAAAAGAAUAUCAAGUAUUAGAAACUCCAACUUCUCAUUGUGUUUCUGAAAAGUACUCUGAAACUGUCGUCAGAGAAGCCAAACAAAUGUGAGCUUCUAGUGCAGUCUCAGCUAAUGGAGAGGAACAUAAUUGCAACAUUUAUUUUAGUCAUGCCAACAUUUUGUUCAAUUCUUUAUUUUGUGAUCAAAUUAAAUGUAAAAUCCUUUUUUCUGCAGGAGGUUGAGAUUGUUCUUACUGCUCAUCCCACACAAAUUAACCGCCGUACCUUACAAUACAAGCAUAUAAGAAUUGCUGUAAGUUAAGGGUUGUGCUGACAAUUAUUAACUUGAGUCUUGAGGCUAUUUUCUGAAAGUCAACCCGUUUUUCCUUGCAGCAUCUGUUAGAAUACAAUGACCGACCUGAUCUUGGUCAUGAAGAUCGAGAAAUGCUAAUUGAAGAUCUGGUAUUGUUCCCCAAUGCAAUGUUUCCUGACCACUCCUGGAAAAUAAAGGGAAAAAGGGGGUGGGGGGCAUGGUUUGUCUACUAUUGUGAUCAUGGGAAAAAAUGUCUUCCGUUUCUUGGUUUUAUAAGAGUUCCUUUUGACUUUGUAGGUGAGAGAGAUAACAUCGAUAUGGCAGACAGAUGAACUUAGACGCCACAAACCUACUCCUGUGGACGAGGCCAGGGCUGGUAUAUCACUUUAGAGUUUAGACAUAUUAGAAAUUGCAUGCAUUUUAUCUUAUAAAUGCUUCUGUAUGACUAUUAUUAUUUUUUAUUAGGUCUGAACAUAGUGGAGCAAUCCCUUUGGAAAGCCGUACCUCAUUAUUUACGUCGUGUUAGCACUGCCCUUAAGAAAGUGGGAUAUCAACUUCUAUUUUGAAACUACUAGGCUCUUUGAAUGGAUACACAAUAUUUAUAGGCUCGCUCAGUCUUUUUUUUCUUUAAUUUGCCAUUCCUUUUCAGCAUACAGGAAAGCCGCUUCCACUAACAUGUACCCCCAUAAAGUUUGGCUCCUGGAUGGGGGGUGAUAGAGAUGGAAAUCCUAAUGUCACAGCAAAGGUGAGGCUCCUUGCAUCCCUCUACUUUCUGCUCUUUGAUGACUGCUUUUAAACUGGAAUACCCUGAAAAUUGAACGACUGGUUCAUUUUGGAAAUGUGGUUUUGGAAUUUCUAGAUUGAUUCUUAGUAUUUUUCUUGAGACUCCUUGUCCCUUUUUCCACAUGUCUAUGUUACAACUAGUAAUAACUAGCAUUCUGUGCUAGUCCCUAUCGUAUAAUUUCAUGCAAAAAUGGCAUUUUUCCUACAGUUUUACCAAGUGCCUAAUGCCUUCAUUGUUUUUCUUCUCCUUGUUUCAGGUAACAAGGGAUGUCUCACUUUUAUCUAGGUGGAUGGCCAUUGAUCUUUACAUCCGGGAAAUUGAUAGCCUUAGAUUUGAACUAUCCAUGAACCGAUGCAAUGAUAGGCUAUCCAGAUUGGCUCAGGAAAUUCUAGAGAAAGGUUGGGGCUGCUUGAUAUGUUUAUGCUCUUUUCAAUCUUAAACACCUAUCCUAGAAAUUUUUAUUAGUUAGUUUACCUGUUUUACACCAUCUUAUGCUUAAUUGAGGACGCCUUAAUCCUGUAUUCUUCGGGGGGCUAAUGUCAGACACAUGUUGAUGAGCAUAAAUCUGGUUGGCCUUGAUAGCCAAGAAUGUUAUUUGGGCAUAUGAUUUUGAAGAAUAUUUUUCCAAAUCAUUGAAAGAAACCUACAAUUGAAGAAACAAGUGAUCUUAGAUUUGAUGAUAGUGUGUUUUAUACUAUAUCAAAACUUGCGCAAGAUGGAUCGCAAAUUAUAUCUGAUGACUUACAUCCAAGUCUUCCAUAUAGAUUUUGUGUUAUAAUCUGUUUUAAUCCUCUUUAUCUCAGUUAUAUCACAACUUCUGAAAUCUGAACAGUAGGUUUACUUCAUCUUCAGAAACCUUAUCAGAGAACCUACGUGAGAGUCGGAACCAACCUUUAAGCCGAAGUCAACUCAAGCUUCAUGGCCAACAAGCUCCGUCCCUUCCUACCCAACUUCCUGAUAGGGCAGGUUUACCUGCCUGCACUGGUAUGUGCGCGCAGACACUCAAACACUCAUAGCAAAAUGUUUUUUUCAUGGUUUGCUUAUUUGUGCAUACACUUAAAGAGCUUUUGGUCUCAAGAAUAUAAGGUAUUGAACAGUUGAUUGUAAUGAUAAUAUGCAAAAUAGAAAGUUUAAUUUUUCUUGUAAAACAUUUUAUGCUAUAUCUUUGCCCGGACAAUCCAUUCCCAGCUGUGAUGUCUAUGCAUAUAUAUAUUGUUUCUUUUCUUGGUAAUGGAAUUAAUCUUGUCUUUAAUUUCUAAGUGAUACUGUUUCAUUAGAUGAUUUCAUCUGAUUUGUUUAUUCAUGCAGAUUACACCGAUGGUGGAUCUCAAUAUCCAAAACUAGAACUCCCAGGGACUGAUUACAUGCCGUUGGCUCGUGAGGUUAAUUUAUUCUCUUGUAGUUUUGGCUGUUCAACAGGUUCUUCCUUCAUACCGUCAGCAUCAUAGCUAACAUUUAGUUUAAAUGUCUACUUUAGGAUGGUCGGGAAAAUUCAUCUAAGGAUUUAAGUCCCAAUAUACCCAAAUUAUCAGCAAAUGGGAGUUCUGCUAACUCCAAUGGAUCAUCAACUGCUGUCACAUCACGGGGUUCUUUCUCCUCUGGUCAGCUUCUAGCUCAGAGAAAACUAUUUGCAGAAUCUACGAUUGGAAGGUCCAGCUUCCAUAAGCUUCUUGAGCCAAGUUCAGCUCUACGUCCUGGAAUUGCUCCUUAUCGAAUUGUUCUUGGAGAUAUCAAGGAAAAGGUAUUGUUUCUCUAUUAGUUAAAAUACGUAAAAGCUCGUAUAAAAGCUUGUUUUUGGAUAUAAAUCAGGUUUCUUUGUGGCUUGCUGAAAGAGAAUAUGCACCUUUUCUGUUUUAGAAAUGUCGAUAUGGUUUGUAUAGGGGAGAUAAAGAAUUUUAAUUUUAUCUAGCUCAUGGUCUUGCUUUUAGAAUUGAGCUAAAGAAUUAAAAAAAAAAACAGGAUGGAUAAAUAAUGAUAUUACCUAUUCUAUGUAUAUGGUAAGGGCUAGUUUGGCAAUGCUUUUAAAAAAUGGAGUGGAAAAGUGCUUUUGAAAAGUGCUUUUGAAAAGUUUAGUUUAAAAUUUGAGUGUUUAGCAUUAUUCUCAAAAAGUGCUUUUGAGAAAUAAAAUGUCCAUUUUAGACAUGUUAUUAUCAAGUAACAAAUAUACAUUUAAAUAAUAUUUAAAUUAGUUAAUAUUAUUAUAUUUUAGUAAAAAUAUAAAGUAAUUAUUAUAACUUCUUGUUGAUAUUUUAAUAUAUGAAAUAUAAAUUUUAAAUACUUUUAAGCAAUAAAUAUUAAUUAUUUAUAAAAUUUAAUUAGAAUAUAUAAACUAUAUUUUAAAAUUUAAAUAUAACCAUUAAAUAUUUGUAAUUAGUAUUUUAAAUUUUUUUAUUUUUAAUUAAUAAUUUUAACACAUUUGUAAUUAAGCGCCAAAAAGAAAAAAAGGGAAAAUACUAUGUUAUUGGAGGGGUGAAAAAAUAAUUAAGCACUAAAAGUGCUUUUGGGAGAGGAAAAGCUAAAAAUUUUAGCUUCUACUUUUUAAAAGUGCUUUUGAAAAGCACUUCUAAAAAGCUAAAAAUUUCAUCCAAAAGCAGUUUGUUUAGUACAACUUUUCUUUCAAAAGUGUUUUUGGAGUCGGAAGUACUUUUUUUAAGCACUGCAGAACAGGCCCUAAAUGGUUAAAUAUAAAAUUUAAAAUUCCUUGAACAUAUAAAAUGUUUUUAAAUGUGUCAAUGUUAGUUUUAAGGAAAUGUGAAAUCUUAUAUAAAUUCAUUUGGUAACAAGUGUUGGUGAUUAUGACUAAAUGAUUUACAAAUAAUUCUAAAAUUUUGGACUUUUAUAUUAAUUAACCUAUCAUAGGGUUACAUCUGUCAUGUGAAUUUGUAAUUGUAACAUUCCUUUCGCCAGGUAUGUAGAUUAGGCUGAGAAAUUUGAUUCUUUUGCGAAAGUGAUAGAUGAAAAAUCUUAUAUGCUAGGUCUAUUGCAGAAAUAGCUUAAGAAUAUAAAGCAAUUCUGAAAAAUCUUAUAUGCUAGGUCUAUUACAGAAAUAGCUUGAGAAUAUAAAGCAAUUCAAGUGAGCUAGGUUUCAUUUGAGAAUGAUUUUGAACAAAAAGGAAAGGCAUUUUCAAAAUUUUACUUUAAAUCUAGUUCAUUUCUAGUUGUUAGGACAAUUUCCUCAAGCGGCACAGUCAAGGAAAAACUUAUCUAAGAUUUCAAGAUUAUUUUGGGUAUGGAACUAAACAAAUUAUCAUUCAGUGUCAUGCUUAUUCUGCUUUGCUAAAUUUGCAUGCAGAACUUGUGAAAUUUUGUUAGCAAUAAGUUGUUGUUAUUGAUCCGUAGGGUAUGGAAUUUAAUUUUUUCAGUCAAUCUGUUUUUAAUAUCCAGUAAGAUGUGUAUUUGUGUUUUGAUGACCUAUAAUUUCAGCUCAUGAAAACUCGAAGACGGCUGGAACUUCUUCUGGAGGAUCUUCCCUGUGAAUAUGAUCCCUGGGAUUACUAUGAGACGAAAGAUCAAUUUCUGGAACCACUGCUUCUAUGUUAUGAGUCUCUGGUAAUAACUCACAUUCCAAUGGCCUGCUGGAGAAUGAAUGUUCUUGCUGCCGUUAAUAUGGUGCUAUAACUGUAAUCUGCAGCAAUCAUGCGGGGCAGGGAUUCUAGCUGAUGGUCGGCUUGCUGACCUGAUUCGGAGAGUUUCAACAUUUGGGAUGGUGUUAAUGAAGCUUGAUUUGCGUCAGGUACACUUUAUUCAGUUAUAUUCUGGUACUUGCUCGUGUUUUGUGUUUUAGCUAAAGUUUUGUUAAUGUACAGGAAUCUGGUAGGCAUGCUGAAACACUUGAUGCAAUUACCAAAUAUUUGGAUAUGGGUACUUAUAGUGAGUGGGAUGAAGAAAAGAAACUUGAAUUUUUGACAAAAGAGCUAAAGGGGAAGCGGCCACUAGUUCCUCCUACUAUAGAGGUAAAGAUAUUCCAAAAGUAUAUUGGAGUGAAUAGGGGCUUGCAAGGAAUUUUCAAUAAUGAGGCUGAUGUGUGCAUGAAUUGCACACAAACAUACAUUGCAUGACAACUCUUAUAGCAUAAAUUCUGUUCCUUUUUUUAUUAUUGUGUUUAAGUUUCUCUAUGUUAAUAUAUACUGAUGCUAGACCGAAACCCUUAGAUUCUUCCAAAUAAGGUGCUCUUAGGUUUAAAGCUUCUAAACUGGCAAUGACCCAAGCCUCACUGUUACUCAAUAGCUGAGGAAACCAGAAACCAGCAAGAUUCAUGAAGUACUCAACUUGAAACGCAAUAUGUCAAGGGAAAUAACCUGAUUGUUGAAACAGUCAAAACACAAAAGUAACCGAUAGAUAUAAUAACUAAUUAAAGAGAACUCGAAGAUGCCUAAAUUCAGAAGUCCUUAAACGUUGAAAUCAGAAUAUAUUACAAUAAUGCCUCAAAAUCAAAAGUAGGUGGUUUCAAGGUUUUGAUUGCCGAGGUCAUAAGGUGGCAUAGCAAGACAUGGGUUUUUGAUUCUCAUUUGUUACAAAAGUCAGACUCUCAUUGAUAAUAUUGGCUCAUCGCCACAUCAUAAUAGUAAAAUGGAAUUGAGAUCUGGAUAGAGCAUGAGAUAGAACCACUUUGAGGUUCCCCAUGCAGUGAGUCUUUGCAACUGGAUGGGUCUUUGAUUCUCAUUUUUCUUGGGAACACAAUAUGUCAAGGGAAUCCAAGAUGUCUGCCACAUUUCCAUGAAUUCUCCUAAUAUCUUGAGCCAAUUAUAGCCUUUAUUUUCCCUUUUUGUUCGCCGGGAGUCCUACUGGAGUUCAAGUUGCUAUGAUUCAUGGCUAUGUAGUGUUCCUAGGAAGCUGAAAUGUCCGCAUUGAUUUGUUCAUUCGGUUAUAAAACAUUGCAAGUUGGCCCUCUUUAAGGCGCUGGGAUAUUCUUUAUUAAUAUUAUUAUAUCUAAAUAAAAAAUUUGAAAGUCACAUGUAAUUGUUCCGACAUUUUCCUUGGCAAUAUGAUUUCAAGACACGUGGUUACUUUUCAAAUUGACAGGAAAUGAUGCCAAAGGGACACAUGGCCAAGCAAACCUGAAUUGUUAUAUAGUUCCUUAGAAAACAGUCAAUUCUUUCAUCCUCAAACUAAAAAGAGGUUGUGGGUGCCUGAGAGGUAGGACAGUCAUUAUAAACCUUAAUUGAUAAAAGUAUGAAGGUAGAAACGGAUGAGUACUGCAUGCUGCCUAGCAAGUGAGGUAGUCCUUAUAGACCUUAACUGAUGAGAAUGUGAAGGUAGAACACUGAUGAGUACUUAUUGCAAUUAUCACGUACCACCUCUCGUUAAUGUCUUCAUGGUUUGCAUGAGCUGGUUCAUGGGUGAUGUCAGAGCACACACAAAAUGUGCCUUAAAGCACAGCAUGGUCAUACUGUGGGACUAUAGGCAUAUAAUCUCUAGGCAUCAAGGAUUUCUUUGAGUUCAAAUUUCCUCUCCUUUUCUUCCUUUUUUUUGUGGCUCUUAUUCAGAUUUAGCAAAAAGGUCCAUUCUCUUUCUAACUACUAGGACGGUAAAAAAAUUACCUAAAUAGCUCUUGUGCGAUAGAGAUCCAUAGCUGGAUAGCUGAGAACUUGAGGCCUAUUUGUUUGUUGUGUUAGCCUUUGUGGAAAAUCACUCUCUACUAAUAAUUUGUGGAUUCAUAAUAUAUAGAGAAUUUUGGAUGAAUUCCUACUCUUCAUUCUUAGCGACUUCUUUAUAAGAUAGAUAAAAAUGAAAAAGAAAAAAAAGAAGAAAAAACUGAUAUUUAAUAUCAAGUACAAAAAGCAUAUUCAUCGAUUAAACCAUGGGUGGAGUGGCAAAGGACUUGAUAUAAAUUCUUUAGUUUACACUAAUCCCUAGUUUGAUCGUUGGAGAACCGCUACCCCCUUCCCUUUAUCAGAAAAAAGAAGUAAAAAAAAGCAGCAGCAGCAUAUUCAUAUGUGCAGGAUGAAAAAGGCUUAAUUAGAAUGAACCUGAAUAGAGAUAUAAAGAAAAUCCCUUGGAGUUGACGUUACUAAUCAUUUCAUUGUUGCCAUCUCCUCACUUCUAGACUGCUUUUGUUUUGGACUAAAUCGUAUUACAUGUGGAGUGGGGUGGGGGAUCCCCUGAAUUGUGCAUAGGUCUAGGUGCUUUGGCCCUUGGAUUUGCUCUUGUAGUUAUCAUUAUUUGAGUUUAGAAAAUGGUGCCUUCUUUGGUGCAAUAUUCAAAGUCUUUCCUUUAUUUUCAAUUUUCCUUUAUUGCUUUAGUUAACAAAUAGCUCUUAUCUCCAAUGGAUUUGUUUCAGGUUGCUCCUGAUGUUAAAGAAGUCCUAGAUACCUUUUUUGUAGCCGCUGAGCUAGGAAGUGAGUCUCUUGGAGCAUAUGUGAUUUCUAUGGCAUCCAACGUAUGAUUUGCUAAAACCAUAUUAUGUUUACACCUGUUUAUACCUCUGCAGUACAUAAAAGAAAACUUUUUUCCCCUUUUCUGUUAAUUUAUCUUUAGCUUUUACAAUAUUCAUAUAUGGGAUAAAUAGAAACAAUGCUACCCGUUCUUGCUGAUUUGCAGGCAAGUGAUGUCCUUGCUGUGGAGCUCUUGCAGAAAGAUGCUCGACUUGCCGUUAGUGGGGAAUUAGGGAAACCUUGUCCUGGUGGAAUGUAAGUUUGCACCUCAGCUAGUUUAUACUCAUAUGCUCUUAGAUACAUUAAAUGCUAUCAUAUAUUUUUUAGUAUGAUAGCACAAUAGUAAUGAGAGAAACACACGGUUUUUGUUCAUCUGGAUCUCUAACUGUGAUUUAUCCUGGGAUUUUUAGUUCUUUUAUCUUAAUUUGGUUCUGGUUUUCUGCAUCCACUUCCUUUAAAUUGAUAUUAAUCGCGGGUCCUUAUAAUGCGCUUAUUCAUAGUUCUGGGCUACUCUCUAGACAUGGAUGAUCUUGUAUGCACUUGUAGAAGAGUGGCAGAAAUUACUGAUUAUCCAUUUUUCAUGGUUAACUUGUUAACAGGAGUGAAUUAGUUAGUAUUCCAGCUGGAGGUUUCUCCUUAACAUCAUUUUUGUUGUUGAUUAAGAAGAGGGGUAUGGUUUUGAGGUUGGGAACGGGAAUAGGAAUGGGAAGGGUUCCAAUUGCCCACUAUUUUUGUUGCACAAGAUGAGUUUGAAUUCAGUAAAAAACUCAGAACCUAUUAUGUCACUAUCUAAUCUCUCGUAGAUAUUUACUGGGGCAUGAAUAAUAGAACAACAAUAUACUUUGAAGGGAAGAGCUUUGGCACAACAUGUUUAGUUAUGGUUGACAUAAUUCAGCAUAACUAUGGCACUGUUAUACUUUGAAGACUUCUAUUCAUAUCUGUAUCUUUUUGAGUAGGUUGCGUGUGGUUCCCCUGUUUGAAACCGUGAAAGACCUCAGAGGAGCAGGUUCAGUUAUCAGAAAACUGUUAUCGAUUGAUUGGUACCGGGAGCACAUUGUAAAGAACCAUAAUGGGCAUCAAGAAGUAUGUUGAUUUUUAUGGCCAUUUGCGGGUUCAUUUUUGAAGUUCCAUUAAUCUCGUGUUUACGAAGUUAAUUAAAACAGGUGAUGGUCGGAUAUUCUGAUUCUGGUAAAGAUGCUGGACGCUUCACCGCUGCGUGGGAGCUUUACAAAGCACAAGGGGAUGUUGUUGCUGCAUGCAAUGAGUUUGGAAUCAAAGUUACUCUUUUCCAUGGUCGAGGAGGGAGUAUUGGUCGUGGUGGUGGCCCAACUUACCUCGCCAUUCAGUCCCAACCACCUGGUUCUGUAAUGGUGAGUGCCGCUUAAUUUUUAUCUCAGAAAUUUGGUAUUAUUAUUUGAUUAUUUCCUCAAUAAUCCGUAUUUGAGAGAUCAUUUUUUUCUCGGGUAAUUGAAAGAUAGAUGAAAUAUCUUAUUUGGUUGUCUGGUGUUGUAAGUUACCGUCACUUCAAUUUACAGUUUGCUACUUUUUUUAUUAAUGUGGAAAAUUCAAUUGUUGUGUUCCAUUUAUUUGUUGUUGAAAGGCCUUUUUCAGCAAACUGAUACGGAGUUGGAUGCUUCGCUUUGAGGAAUAUUUAGUGUGGUGUCUGAUUGAUAAUGGCAUGUUGAAUUGGCAGGGCACACUUCGGUCAACAGAGCAAGGGGAGAUGGUGCAGGCAAAAUUUGGUUUGCCACAGAUUGCUACUAGACAGCUAGAAAUAUAUACAACGGCAGUGCUGCUUGCAACUCUGCGGCCCCCUCAACCACCUCGAGAACAGAAAUGGUGUAAUCUGAUGGAGGAGAUCUCAAAAAUCAGUUGCCAGAACUACCGGAGCACAGUUUACGAGAACCCGGAAUUCCUGGCGUAUUUCCAAGAGGCUACACCCCAGGCUGAAUUGGGGUAUCUUAACAUAGGGAGCCGGCCGACAAGAAGAAAAGCAACGACAGGAAUAGGACAUCUUAGAGCAAUUCCAUGGAUAUUUGCAUGGACGCAGACCAGAUUUGUACUACCAGCAUGGCUUGGGGUAGGAGCAGGUUUAAAGGGGGUAUGUGAGAAGGGACAUACGGAAGACUUGAAAGCGAUGUACAAAGAGUGGCCGUUUUUCCAGUCCACGGUGGACCUGAUAGAGAUGGUUCUAGGGAAGGCGGAUAUUCCAAUAGCCAAGCAUUACGAUGAAGUGCUAGUGUCAGAGAGCAGGCGGGAACUUGGAGCGGAACUUAGGAGGGAACUGAUGAUGACAGAAAAGCAUGUAUUGGUAGUGAGUGGACAUGAGAAAUUGUCAGAGAACAAUAAGAGCUUGAGAAGGCUGAUAGAGAGCAGGCUCUCAUAUCUGAAUCCAAUGAAUAUGUUGCAGGUGGAGGUUCUGAGGAGGCUUAGACGUGAUGAUGAAAACAACAAACUCAGAGAUGCUUUGCUAAUUACUAUAAAUGGAAUCGCUGCGGGGAUGAGGAACACCGGUUAAUGUUAGAUUAGAGGAUCUCUCUCUCUCUCUCUCUCUCUCUCUCUUUUAGCUUCAUAUAUAUUUGUUGUCCUUAGCCCUACCAGUUAAUGUCUAUCGUGUGGAGUUUGGCGAAUGCAAUACUAGCAAGGGUGAAAUCUGUUUAAACUUUGAUUUUCAGAUUGAAAUUUUAAUCUCUAUCUAUCAUGUACUUUGUCUGUUGAACUUACUUAGCAGAGUAGAAAUGCUAUAAAAUAUGAAUCCAUUGCGUCAAUUACUAGGAAGAGACUGAUUGGUUCAAUCAAAUCAGAUCAGAACCAAAAUCAAGGAAUCGAGAUUGAGCCGAGUAGAAAUGUUAGGGGCUUAUUACCCAAAUAGUAAGCGAUGAUGAUUGAAUUGUAUCGAUAUGGCAAUGCAGUCUUAUUAUGCUACUUGCUGCGCGUGUUGGUCGCGUAAUUUUAUCUUUCUUUCUACAGAACUCUUUAAAUUUAUGUUUUAAUGCUUAAUAGAGCACUUGAGAGAAAAAUGAGUGAAAGGCGAGUGAAAAUUUGAGUGUUGGAGCAAGCUGGAGGAGCCACACGGGCUGAACCAUUCCACACGACCAAAACGCAUGGCCGUGUGACCCACACAGGAGUGUGGUAGGCCAUGUUGAUUUCACGGAAUUACGCACCGAACUAUAGAAAAUUAUAAUUUUUAGGUUUUUCGGUAUUCUAAGACUUAUAUAUGACAAAAAUAAGAAGAUAUGAGUGAGUUAUCAUAGACUAUUUAAAAAAAACUCGAAAAAAACUAUUGAACCCGACUCUAAAGCAUAUUUUUGUGAAGAUUGAAAAUUCCCAGUUGAUUUCUUAGGAAAUUAUCUUGAGUUUCUUUGUUUCUUUCGGUUAUACUGUAUCUUGGAUGUUUUUAUUUUCAAGUAUGAACUAAUUUUCUAAAUACCUAGGGGAGAUGAACCAUAUGAUAGAUUUUGUCGUUUGAUUUAUAUUUUUAUGCAAUAAAUGCUUAGUUUAUUGUUCUUAAUUAUGUGUGCUUAAUUCUUGGUUAAUAUUUCUAGAUUAUUGAUCUAUGUUUGAUGUACUUAAAUCGGUGGUGGAAUAGACCCUGUUUAAGAGUAGAUCUUGCAUAGCUAAGUGGAGUUACAUGCAAUCCUAAAAAUAUGACAACAUAAAUCUACGAGAUUAGAAUCAAAUCUAAUAAGAGAAUCCAUAACACGAGUUAAUGUGAUAAUAGAAGUUUUAAUUAAAAAGAAAUUUCAAUUAAUUAACCCAAAGUCAGUUGUUCUUAUGCUCGAAAAAGAUAUUAGCAUAAUUUAGAGAUUUUGUAACGCCCCAAAAUUUGAAAAUGUGAUUGUUGAAUUCUAUCAAUAGUUAGGUGUCUGCUUCAGUGGUUUAUAGCGUUAAUGGUGUGUCUGAAAUUCGGGGUUCAAAUCCCAUUUUUUGAAAAUUGUUAACUGUUUUGAAUCAACUUUUACUUUGAAUUUUUUUACUUAAGUUAAAUUUUGUGAAUGUUGUGUCAAAAAUGAGCUUGUCGGUUUAAUGGUUAAGCUUCUAAAUAUCGCGCUAGCGGUGGGGACAUAUUUUUGUGUUGUGCGGUAAUUAGGUUAACUUUUAAGUAAUUAAACAUUUUCUUUCUUUCUUUCUUUAUAAUGUUUUCCCUCUUACGUUUUGUUUUUAAAAUUUUUCUUCUCUUUUGCUACUGUUUCUUUUUCUUUUCUUUACUUUCCUUCCUUCAUCUUUCUUCUGCUCUGCUAUAUUGUUAACUGUCGGAUCGUACCAUCCCGUGGCCGACUGUGGUUGUCAAGGGUGAGAUUCAGUUGUUCUAAUUUGUUUGUAGUUGUCUAAUCUUUUGUGAAUUUGGGGUUUUUCUUCAAGCUCUGAAAUUGUGGUUUUAAUCUUUUUUUUGUUGUCCUUUGUUAUUUCGGUACAUUGUGGGGGAAGACCGAGAGACGUCUAACGUCCCUCCAACUAUCUAAGUUUGAGUAAUUGUUGUUGGUUCGUCGGUAAGCAUUAGUUUCGUUAUGGGAUUUUGCAUUGAAGUUUUCGACAUAGUUGGUUGAUUUCUAAUUGUGCGAAUUGUUACGUUUAAAAUGAUUGAUUGGACUUUGGUUGUCGUUUUUAGUUUUUGGGAUCACUUUUGUUGCUUCUACGUUGAAUCCAUAUAGGGUGUGUAAGGAAAACCCCAAAUUCUGCGUUCCGAAAAUCAUGGUUAUCGACGCCACACGACCGUGUGCCAGGCCGUGUGUCAGGUCGUGUAACUUAUCAUUUUAGAAUUAGAGUCACACGGACUAGAGACAUGGGCGUGUGUCCAGGCCGUGUAACUUACUGUUUUGGAAUUAGAGUCACACGGGCCAGAGGCACGAGCGUGUGUCCAGGCUAUGUAACUUAUUGUUUUGGAAUUAGAGUCACACAAGUCAGGGAUACGAGCAUGUGUCCUCGCCGUGUGAGAGGAUUUUUGGGUCUUGAGUCACAUAGGCGUGUGCUUGGUCAUGUGCUAGACCGUGUAACUCACUUUUUUGAGACACGCGGUGUAACAACCCGAUUUUGGGCUUAGCCAGAAUAAUGGUUUCGGGACCACAAAUUUGACGAGGACAAAAUUUUUUUUUAUUAUAUUUUUAUGGUCUACGAUUUCACGAAAUAAUUUUUUGAAAAAUUUGUUCGAAAAUUUUGACGUUUGGGCACUCAAUUUAGUCAAAAUGACUAAAUUGUAAAAAGUGUAAAAGUUGAGUUCUACAUGUUAGGGGUGUCUUUAUAUCGUAAUUAGACCAUUGGUUAAGUUAUGGACAAAAAUAUACAUGAGAUAAGUGAAAUAGAAAAUUUUUAAGUUAGGGGUAAUUUGGUAAUUUAGUAAUAAAAAGAAUUAAAAAGGGAAAAAGAUGGAAAAUGUGUUUAUCUUCUCCAUGAUGAACGAAAAUAGCAAGGGGGAAGCCAUAGUUAGGGUUUUCAAGCUUCCAAGCUCCAUAAUAAGUGAUUUCAAGCCCCGUUUUUAAUGUUCUUUACGAUUUUAGAGUUCCAGUAACUUGAUUUAGCUUAUUCUAGCAAUAAUUUAACCUAGGGUUUAUAUUUGGAAAAAUACCCAUAGGUGAAAUGUGUUUCUUUUGAUGUUUUAUGGUAGAAUAUAAAGCUUAAAAUUAUGUUAAACAACUUUUGCUAAGUGGUUAAGUGAUUUUAAGUGAAAAUGAGUAAAACGACAAAAUCGGUAAAAAUACCUAAUGUUCAUAAGUAAGUGUUAGAGUGGGAAUUUGAUGUUGCCGUAGAAGGGAAAAAUGUUCAGAAUGUCAUAAUACAUGAGAAUAAGGGAUGAAUUUUAAUUUACGAGCUUUAGGGAAAAAGUGUAAAUAUGCAAAAGUUUAGGGGAAAAUUUGUAAUUUUGCCAAAGUUUAAGUCAAGGACUGUUUUGAUAAAUGUGAGUAUUAAAUAAAUCAAAUGUGUUAUUAUAGAUCAAGAAAGAAGUGGAAUCAACCUUGAUCGGAGAAAAGAAAAGAUUAAAGACUAAAUUGCUAAAUUUUUAUAUUGUUGCAUCAAAGUAAGUUAUGUGUAAAUAAUAGCAAUAUAUUUUUUAUAAAUUGUGAAUUAUAUUUGAUAUGUGAAUUAUUAUUGAAUGUGGAAGGAAAAUUUUUCAUGAAUUAUUCAAGUGAUAAAGUGUUUAAAAUAAAGUGUUAAGUGUAAAUUCCUGGUUGAACUUAGGAAUAGAAGUGGAUACAAGUGACUUGUCACUAGAGACCAGUGUUACAGUGUUACAAUGGGUCCCGGGUGCUAGGUGAUCUAGCAUGUGUUGUAGACACCUGACAGCUUGUGUGAGUAGGCCCGUAGACAUUUCCAGUGUUAUUGAUCAGUGGUAGCUACAGCUACAUAUCAGUGGUAGCUUCGGCUACAUUUCAGUGGUAGCUACGGCUACGUAUCAGUGUGGCACUCAUGUGCUAAUUCUCUACGUAUCCGUGUAUAUUCCGAGUGUUCAACGGGAAAUUUACUAAGUGAAAAUAUAUGAGAUUAUGUAACGACUAAGUGUAAUUGAAUGAUGAAUAUAUGUGUGGAAUUGAAUUGAAUAGUGAUCGAAAGUGAAAAAGUGAAAUUAUGAAAUAGUAGAAUUAGCAGCAAAAUAGUUUUGGACAGAAACAGUUGCAUGACUUUGAAAAAUCACCAAAAAUGAUGGAAAUCGAAUUAGAGGUUGAAUAAGAUAUUAAAUGAAAGGUUAAUGAGUCUAUUUUUACAUAAAAGAAAUAGAGUAAGCAAAAGAGUUAUAUAUUUUGAGAUAUUUUAAGUUUAGUGAGACAGGGUCAGAAUGAAUUUGGAAUCCCCUGUUCUAACUUUGAAAAAUUGUUAAAAAUUGUAAAAAAAUAAUUACGGGCUAAAAUUUAUAUGUUUAGAACCCUAAAUGAGUUUAUUUUCAAGUGAAAUAAACGUAAGUACCAUCUGAAUUCUGUACAAUGAGAUAAUUAAUUUUUAGUGAAGAGAUGUCAGAAUUGUUGAGCAAUGAAAUAGGGGAAAAUUUAAAGAAUAAACUGUACUUAUUAGCUAAUCCAAAAAUUAUGAAAAUUUUAUGGCAAGAAUAUAUGUGAAUCUAGUUUCAGGAAAAAUUAACGGAUCUUAAUUUGGAGCUCUGUAGCUCCGGAUAAAAAUAAUUUAGUGACUCUGACUCGGAUAGACAUCUUUGAAUUACAUGUGAGUGAAUAGUAAAAUUAUAGAAAAUGUUAUUUAUAAGAGUGUUAUGUACAUUAAGGAUGUGGAAUGGAGAGGAGGAGGAGGAGGAAAUAUAAAAUAUAUGAAUGAUUUGUAUAUAAAUUAGUCAUAUGCCCGAUUAUAUUUGAUAAACGUUGAAUUAGAAAUGACAUAAUGUUUCAUUUCAAUUAGUUAUUAUGAAUUGAAUUGUAAAUUCAUAUGGCUGAAACCAAACAAUUAUUUGUUAGUAUUAUGCAUGACAUAAUGUAUUAUUCUAUAUACAUAUUCAUGGUUGAAUUAUGAUGGUUGAGAAAGAUAGAUAAAUUGGAAUGAAAGUUCAAAUUGAGUAGAACGCAGGGUUGGGUACUUUCGUUCAGUGAUAAAGACGAAUUGACAGAAAAUACCAGGGAUGGACCAUGGCAAUAAGUGAUAUGUAAUUUCGUGUAAGACCAUAGCUGGGCUAUGGCAUCGGUAUAUGUUAUGAGAUUACGUGUAAGACCAUUGCUGGGCUAUGGCAUCGGUAUAUGUUAUGUGAUUACAUGCAAGACCAUAGUUGGACUAUGGCAUCGAGAAAAUAAGUACUCAAUUCCGUAAGACGUUCACUAAUUUGACAAAGUUGGUGAGUGUUACAUGGACUCAUAUUCAAGUGAUAGAUUUAUUGUGAUUGUUGAAUUUGAAUUCAAUUAAGUGAUUUCACCAAUUGGAUAUUGUAUAUGGCAAGAUGUGUUAGUGAAUUACAUAUUUAUGAAAUGAUAUACGAAGUUCAGUAAAUGAUACAUGAAAUUAAUAUGAAAAGAUUUAUGAUUGUUAUUAGUAUUGUUUCUGACAUAAUGUGGAUUCUUCGAUGUUGAAAUGAUUUAAAGGAUUUAUUGAGCAUAUGAAUGAGUAUGAGACUCAUACGAGUUAGUAUAGAUAUGUACAUGUGUCUUAUAAGCUUUGAAAUGAUAAGACUUGUGAAUUGUGAAUUAAUCUGUGUGAAAGUAUAUGGGAUAGAUUAGCGAAUCUUUACGAGAUAUUGAAUAUUUAAUAUAUUACAAUGGUGGUAGCUAUAAGGCUUGGAUCGAAUGAGUAUCUAUUGGGCCUCGUAAGCCCUAAUUAGCGAUUUGAAGAUAAUAAUUUGAAAGUUUUAAUCUGUAUGAAAUUUUAUAACUCGGUUUAAUAUGUUUAUAAGUGUAUAUGUUCUGGUAAUGCCUCGUACUCUAUUCCGGUGUUGAAUACGGGUAAGGGGUGUUACAAUGUGACAUCGCCAGAUUCGGCCAUAACGUUUAGGCUGGGUUUGGGGUGUUAUACACGGCCAUGUGUGACAUUAAUGAGGGCCACAAGGCGAGUGCUUGGCCAUGUGGACCACACGAGCCAGCCAUUCAAGCCGUGUGAAUCCACACGGGUGUGUGGGCCAGAAAUCAAAUUUUUUUCCUAGAGUCAUAAACAUCGUUCGGAUUGAACGUAUGCCUAUCUUAGGGUCCGUAUGAUUUGAAUUAGACAAUGAAAUCUAAUAUCUGGUAAUCUAUUACUGAAUAAUCUGUUAUUUAGACAUAUAUGUUUGAUAUGAAAUCUAAUAAGUAAGUGUGACAGUAAUACGUGAGUAUGAUUUGAAAUUGUACCACUGUAUACGCAUAUCUAUUAUCUGAUAUAUCUGCAUUUGCAUCAGGUUUGGGAACUUGUAAAGGAGGAAGUGUGGAUAGUUUAAUAAUCUGCCAAUUUUGGUGGCUAAGCCAUAACCGUAUAUCUGACUCUGGUGAUUUAUCGCAUUUUAAUUUGGCAGCUAGAUUGCAAUUACUUUGAAACGUGACAUAUAGUCACUACACGGUGUGUAGGGAUGGAUGGGUACUUGAUACCCUAUAUGCUGUGUAGGAUUGGACGGAGGUGGUGUGUAGCGGUUGGGGGUAAGACUUUGCAUCUGUAUUUGAUAUGUUCUGCUACUGAAUUCGAUGCCCUCUGCUUUUGUCUCUGUGUCUAAUUCUAAGAAUUGUCUGAGAAAUGAAACUGAAAUCAUACCUGUUAUAUUACUGAUUAUUUGAUUAUAUAAGUUAGGCACUGAGUUGUAAACUCAUCUAGUCUAUUUGUUUAGAUGACAAGUAACCCACAGACUUAGGUGGGUCGGAGUGUUAGGAGCUCAGUCACAUCGUUUAACUGAUUUAUUAUGUUAUUUGGAUUUAUGCUUAAUUGUUAUUCUGGGUUGUGGAUUUUAAUACUGGAUUUUAUAUUUUUCUUUUGAACGUUUCAAUUUCUGGGAUGGUUUGAAUUUUUAUUUUUAAAAAAAUGGACUUUCCUAGAAUGAUUGAUGUAGCUCUCCAGACUUGGUCAUAUCAUUAGGUCGGGUUUGGGGUGUUACAUAUUUCUAUGGAUCAAAAUACUAAGUAAAGAAAUUGUGUAAUUUAGAUUGAUAGUGACAGAUGAAAUCUAGGUAAAUUCUUUCUUGAAUAUUGUUUCGCUUCAUGGUUGUUAAUCGAUUAUUUUUUAAUUUAUUCCUUAUUGUGUUCGUUAGUUAAUUAAUUUAGUUAAUUUUAGUUUUUAAUCAAUCACUCGAAUUAUUAAGUUAAAUAAUAGAAAGACGAUAAUUAUUAGUACUUUUAGUCUUCGUGGGAACGAUAUAUUUACUCACCAUAACUAUACUAUUAAUUGAUAGAUGCACUUACCUUACUCAACUUUUUAGUUAAUUUUGUGGACAUCAACCUCCAUUAUUACUAGACUAUGGGCAACUUUAUUUCUUUGCCAAUGAUUUCAUAGUUAAUUUUAAAAUUUUAAAAAUAUUAUUUGGUUCACUUUUAAUAAUUAAUUUGAUACUUUUAGGUAGAUAAUUUUCAUCUUUUAGUUAAUGCAUAGAGAUAGAAAUAAAUUUAUGAGAUUAUUUCGUAAUCAUGUCAUUUUUUUAAAAGAUUUUAUUUGCCUCUUUUUAUAUUUUAAUAUGGAAAAAAUUAUUAGCAAAUAAACAUAGAUGAUAAAAAAACUCCAAUAGCUAUCAACAUUUUAGGGCAAUUUAUCAAUAAAAGCCCUUUUUUUUCAAAAAUUACCGAAAUAGGCCCAUUUUUUAAUUAUUUACCGGAAUGGUCCUUUUUCCUGGAAAUCGCGUCCAUGUCAGCAUCUCGCGCUGACGUGGACGCGAUUUCGGCCCGCGCGUGAACAGUACCCAACGGUCAAAAAAAUAAAAUACCGGGCCCAUUUCGAUAAAUUUUAAAAAUAUAAGGCUUUUUUGGUAUUUUGAAAAAAUAAAUUUUGAAUCUUUUUGUACUUGUAUUUAUUUUUUUAAUCAAUUAACUCUUCAAUAUUACAUCUGUAACACCCCUUACCCGAGACCGUUGUCGAAGUCGAGCACGAGGCAUUACUUAGCUUAUCUUACUAAUUCGGAGUAUAAAAACUUGUUUUGAAAAUUAAUUUCACUAUUUACUGCAAAUCUGUCCAAUCGUGCAUCAGUUACUAAAUUAAUUAUAACUCGAGUUACGGUACUCGAAAUUUAAUUCCGCAAAUUUUCCCUGAAACUAGACUCAUAUAUCUUCCAACUAUAAAAUUUUUAUUCAAAUUAUCUCAUACACUAUUUCUUAAUACAAUUUAUACCAUUAAUCUUUCAAUAAACAUUUAAUACAUUAAAUCAACUUGUUUCAACAAUAACAAUGAUAAUAAUAGCUAUCUUUCAAUUCGAUUCGUUCAUUUAUAAUCAAUUUACACUUAUGAUCUUUUAACACUCAAUUUGUACAUUAAAUCCGUAAAUAAGUUUUAAUAACUUGUAUUAAAUUUUCGUAUUAUUUCACUAUUUCAAGUCAUUUUAUUUUCACUUCUCAUUUCUCAACAAUAGCUAUUUCAAUUUGCUUUUCUUUACUUAUAAUUUUACAUCAUCUCAUACUAUCAAAACCAUUUCAUGAACUAUAUCAUUAUCUAUUUCUUGAGCCGCUAGUUCAUACAUUUUAUUUCCAUAUGUCAAUUUAAUAUCUCAUUUUGAUUCAUAUUUAAGAUCAUUCAAUAAAAUUUAUAUUAUCAAAAUUAUCCAUUUACCCCUAUUAACUUGACUCGGACCUUGGCGGAUACACGGAUUCCAACCAAACACACCAGUAACAGUAAUCAGUAACAAUAACAGUGUUCGACACACAAAGUGCCGAAUCGGUAACGGUGACAGUAACAGUAACAGUAUUCGACACACAAAGUGCCGAAUCGGUAACAGUAACAAUAGUCGGCACAUAAGUGCCUGAUUAGUAAGCCGGCAAAUACCCCGUACUUUUCCAUAUCCUAUGGCAUGCCAACUAUAUCCGACUAGCCCGACUAGUUAAUAGGAUAUUUAACUCACUUUUCAGUACAAUUUUCGUCUUAAUUCAGUAUCAAUUAUAAAUUCCUUAUUUCAAUCAGUUUCACAGUAUUAUAAUAAUUUAUUACUUUAGUAAUUUCAUAAUUCAAUGCAUUAUACAUAACAAUAUUCAGUAUUUUCAUAAUUCACUCAGUACUCAAAACAAUAUCCAGUAUUCCCUAAUUCAGUUCAGUAUCAGUCUUACAUAUCAAUUUCCACUUUCUCAAUUCAAUUCCAAUAAAAUCCAUAUCAGUCACCAAUUCCAAUAUUCCAGUUCAAUUCAAUGAUUCAAUUCAAACCAUUUCAAUUUCUAUUCAAUAAUCACAUUUCAAUUUCACUUUCUUAAUUCAAUAUUCAUCUCAAUUACUCACAUAUAAUUACAAUUCAAUCUAAUUUCAUUCAGUUCAAUAUCAGUACUUAAUCUCAAUAAUUAUAUUCACUAGAAAUCUACUCCAUUCAAAGAAAUAUUAUCAUACCAAAUUUCUUACUUUAUUUAUUUACCAUACAUUCUAAUUAAAACACAAUAAUUAAUAAUAAUUAGAUUUGAAUUAUGAUAAUACUAACCGAAAUUUCUCUCGAGUCACUCUUUGUUCACCUUCUCCUUUCCUUUCUCGGACAAUAACUCUUGCACGACAUUAGCUACGUAAUUAAACAAUUAAAAAUCAUUAAUACACAAUUUCAUUAAAAUAUUUCCUUUUGUACCUAAACUUUACCUAAAUUCUAAUUUAAUUCCUUAUCAAUAUUAAUUUCAUUUUCCCAUUCUAACUCCAUAUUCUCUCUUAAUUCUUACUACAAACUCAAUUUAACUCUUCAAUUUCACCAUAAAUCCCUAAUUUCGGGAUUCUUUCAAUUUAGUCCCUACUUUUCAAAACUUACACUUUAUUUCAAUUAAAUCCUUUACUAACUUCUAACUUGAAAUUCAAUCAAUUUAACCCCCUAACACUUCAAUUUAUUCAACAUGAACAUCAUCUAAUAAUCUACUAACUUUCAAAAUAUCAACAUAAAUCAAGUAGUUUUUAUCUCUAGGAUUCCAAAAACAUCAAAACUAAGAGAAAAGGGAUUAAAUUGACUUACCAAAUUAACUCUGAACCUUAAAACCCCAAAUUUCUCUUUUUCUUUUUCUUUCUUUCUUUCUCCCCUGCUUCUUCUAUGUUUCGUUUGCCUAUUCUGUUUCUAUUCUCUUUUCUAUCUUUUAUUUCAUUUAUUUAAUUAGUUUAAUAUAAUAACAAUAAAAUAAUAAUAUAAUAUUACUUAUGUAAUAGGCCAUUUUUGCCCGGGCCCAUACCAGCAAAAUAGACCCAAAUAAUAAAAACAAAAGCAGCCCAUUUUCAGCCAAUUUAAACCCAAAAAAACUACAAGCCCAAAUGCCCAAUAUUAAUAAAAACCCUAGAGGCCCGAAUGGCCCAAAACUACACCAGCUUUCAAACACAAAAAGAAACCCCAGUCGCAUGUUGUUGCUGCCACCUCCUGCGCACGCCCACCGUCGCUACUCGCCAAUCGCCGGCUUCGCGUGUCCACGCGUCUGACACCUGCAAAACGAAGCCACACGCAACAGUACAAGGAUCCAAAGCAUAAAACGACAGAAAUAGAAGUUUAGGGGUUGUAAAAAUUUGCUAUAUAGGCUGAACAAAAGCAUUGUAAUUUUUUCUUCUGGCAAUUUCAUGAACUUUAGAAAUAAAAGAAAACUAAGUUUUUCUUCUCUAGACCUGUUAUUUUAUUUUGGUUUUGCUCUAUUUUAUUUUUUUAACAAAAACAAAAUAAAGAAAAGGGGGCUCACCGGAACCUUUGUGACCGCAUCGUCGGGAAAGGGUGAAGCUACGCCGCCAUCGGGACCGGAUCCAUAAGGAGGCCGGGGUUCUCCUCUGUUUUGGUCGCUUGCAGGGCUCGACCCUCGAUGGCGCUGCCAGGCAGAGGCUGAAAAGCCCAUUUUUUACGCGUCAGACACCGGCUACGGAGGCGGUGCGGUCGUUCAUCGACGGUGAGUGGGCCUGGAACCCAAGCAGAAAAAGGGAAACCUCCCUUUUAUUUUUCUGUGUUCUUUGCAAGAGAAUGAAACAGCAGAAAAAGAAGUAAAAUUUUUGCUUUUAUGGAUGAUUAAACCGGUGCCGUUUGAUGGGGGAGAUCUGCGCAUGCUUUGCCCUAAUGGGUAAUUUAUGCCUUUAGUCCCUCCAUCUUGCGUUGAAGUGCAAUCCAGCCUUUUAUUUCUUUUCUGAUUUGGGCCAUAAGAUUUACUGCUUGUUUCAUUUUAGUCCGUGUCAAAACGCAGCAUUUUGGGGAUGGGGAUUAUUUCCCAGUUAGUCCCUAUCUCUCUGCGCGCAUUUAGUUCAGGUCCCGAUUGUCCUUUUUAUUUAAAAUCUGUCAUUUAAUUUUGUUUUUAAUUUCUGUCUAGUCCCGGGUCCAUUUAAUUUAUUUGUUUAUUAUUAUUAUUAUUAUUAUUUAAAAAAACAGAAACUCUUUUAUUAUUAUUUGUUUUAAAUUUUAUUUAUUUAUUAUUUAUUGUAA
This 22882-nucleotide long non-coding RNA is filed under the name Gossypium raimondii (Peruvian cotton). RNAcentral describes it as "long non-coding RNA (GRAI_LNC006703)". The record is from RNAcentral. Lineage: Eukaryota; Viridiplantae; Streptophyta; Magnoliopsida; Malvales; Malvaceae.